This is a non-coding RNA of Pelobates cultripes (western spadefoot toad), 754 nucleotides long. The record is from the annotation of a GenBank genome assembly. Lineage: Eukaryota; Metazoa; Chordata; Amphibia; Anura; Pelobatidae.
AUUUAGGCUGUAUUUGUCCACAUUUGACUCAAACAUUCCAGCAUUAGUAAAUGCAUCCACUGACGUGUCAUAAACUGGAAUACAUUUCACAAUUUUCAUUAAUUGUUCAUGUAUUUUCAAGUUUUGCAGCUCUGUCUUGAAAUUUAUAUUUCUGCAAAUCACUCUGUGAGGAUACAUUUUCAGUAUCUAUUGGUUCUGGGAUUAGAUUCUGUGUCUGUAUUUUUCUUGUAUUAACACAUACUUGCUUAACUUCAUUUCUAAGCUGGCAAAUAAGAUCAUUUCUUAGUUCAACUCUAUCCUCUAAUUCACAGACUGUUUCUGACUGUUUACAGCAUGUGCUCUCUGUUACAUUGUUACACUGUUCAUUUAAAUCUGAUUUGUCUUCUGUUAACCCAUUCAAAUCUAUUUCUUUAUCUGCUGAUUCUAAAUUUUCUUGACCUGCAUCUCGUUUACAAAUCAAUGCAUUGUAAGUACAGACUAGUUUCAUAACAUUUCUGAUCUUUUGUUUUUUCUUAUUAACAAACAAUUUCUUGUCAAUUUCACUAUUGGCAAUUUCACAUUGUGUGUAUAAAGAUUGCCACAAUACAGCAUCUGAAUAGCUGCUAUUAAAUGCAAACUGCAAUUUACUUUUCUCUGCAAUAUCAUUUAUAAAUUCCACAAUUCAUUUGUUCCAACAAAAUCUAACUUUCCUUAUUCCAACAUGCCAAUAACCUCUUACUUAACAACAUAUACAAGAUUACACAAAGUUCCUAAC